UAAUCAAACACAGAUGAAAACAUUUUUUAAAUUCAAAUGAUGUGAGCCAGAAAGAUUCCCUUUAAGGCAGAGCCAAACGUGCCUACAUGUUGAAGAUGUUGCAUUUUCCGAGGACUUGUGAACGCAACGCUCCAUUUGACAGCGUGCUAGCAAACAUGGCGCCUGUUAGAGAGUGCCGUCAACACCUCUUGACUGUCUCUUUCUGUCAGCUGUCAGGAAGGAAGCUGGAUAGAUGAGGAGGCGGCCUGUGAGAUAGUAGGGAAUCGACCGCCACAACAUCUUUGGACGGGGCACGAACAGUUUCGACUUGGUUUCCUCACUUCAGGCGUUAUGUUAAACAGGUCAGAUAUGA
This is a long non-coding RNA of Hippocampus comes (tiger tail seahorse), 352 nucleotides long. RefSeq lists it as uncharacterized. The transcript has 2 exons. Lineage: Eukaryota; Metazoa; Chordata; Actinopteri; Syngnathiformes; Syngnathidae. The record is from RefSeq and is a predicted model, not a curated record.